GAUGAACGCUGGCGGCGUGCCUAAUACAUGCAAGUCGAGCGAACAGACGAGGAGCUUGCUCCUCUGACGUUAGCGGCGGACGGGUGAGUAACACGUGGAUAACCUACCUAUAAGACUGGGAUAACUUCGGGAAACCGGAGCUAAUACCGGAUAAUAUAUUGAACCGCAUGGUUCAAUAGUGAAAGACGGUUUUGCUGUCACUUAUAGAUGGAUCCGCGCCGCAUUAGCUAGUUGGUAAGGUAACGGCUUACCAAGGCAACGAUGCGUAGCCGACCUGAGAGGGUGACCGGCCACACUGGAACUGAGACACGGUCCAGACUCCUACGGGAGGCAGCAGUAGGGAAUCUUCCGCGAUGGGCGAAAGCCUGACGGAGCAACGCCGCGUGAGUGAUGAAGGUCUUCGGAUCGUAAAACUCUGUUAUUAGGGAAGAACAAAUGUGUAAGUAACUAUGCACGUCUUGACGGUACCUAAUCAGAAAGCCACGGCUAACUACGUG
This 497-nucleotide ribosomal RNA is filed under the name uncultured bacterium. RNAcentral's name for it is "partial 16S ribosomal RNA". It matches the Rfam family "Bacterial small subunit ribosomal RNA", at positions 28 to 507 of the family's 1533-position model. The record is from RNAcentral.